This is a long non-coding RNA of Engraulis encrasicolus (European anchovy), 509 nucleotides long. RefSeq lists it as uncharacterized. The record is from RefSeq and is a predicted model, not a curated record. The transcript is spliced from 2 exons. Lineage: Eukaryota; Metazoa; Chordata; Actinopteri; Clupeiformes; Engraulidae.
CAUUUUAUUAUAACCAGGGUGCGAUUUGUAGUCAGGGAUUGUCCCCCCUUGUGGUCUUGAUAUCGCCACUUUUUCUGCAUGAUUUUAUCACAGUUCAAUGUAAUUCCAUUGAUAUCGCUUACAAUCUGAAACAUAUUCCCCCUUCUGGUUUUCCAGAUCACAAAUCGCACCCUGAUUAUAACCAUUGCAUUACUCUGGUUAUACAGUAGCCCACUACUUUUCAUUACAUGUAAUGAUGUAGAGAUCUAGAGCUAAUAUAAUGCUUCUCCCAGUAGGCCUAGUGGAUCCACACCGUGACCUAAGUGCACUGGACCCUGUUGAUAUGCAGCCACCUCAGCUUCAUGAAGAAACGGCAAGAUUCAGAUGACUACACCGUUUCAGAUCUACUCAUCUCGCUCACCUGUCCACCUGGAUGAAGGAUCACACUCUGCAGCUGAACAUGUCCAAAACCAAGCUCCCAAUCAAAUUGUUCUAGGUUAAUCUCUAACAACAACCUUUUUCUUCCUGCA